Long non-coding RNA from Rhagoletis pomonella (apple maggot), 167 nucleotides. RefSeq lists it as uncharacterized. NCBI's taxonomy places the organism in Eukaryota, Metazoa, Arthropoda, Insecta, Diptera, Tephritidae. The record is from RefSeq and is a predicted model, not a curated record. The transcript has 3 exons.
CAAAGAGAUAGAAAGAGCGAGAGUGUAAAGAAACGAAAACUAGGAGAAAUUUGCAAGAAAACUGCUGGUAAAUUGCUCACCGAGAACUUGUUCUCGAUUGAUAACUGAUGAAAAGUAUCGGCAGGAUUUAAUAGAAAAAGUGGUGAAGGAGCAGAGUGUGAGACUGG